Molecule: transfer RNA, 84 nt
Filed under: Lentisphaerota bacterium
Lineage: Bacteria; Pseudomonadati; Lentisphaerota
Also listed under: 1 other name
Description: Lentisphaerae bacterium (anaerobic digester metagenome) tRNA-Leu
Rfam family: tRNA
About the family: Transfer RNA (tRNA) molecules are approximately 80 nucleotides in length.
Source: RNAcentral
GCUCGGGUGGUGGAAUGGCAGACACGCAUGUUUGAGGGGCAUGUGGGGAAACCCAUGGGGGUUCGAGUCCCCCCCCGAGCACCA